RNAcentral lists this long non-coding RNA (457 nucleotides) under Equus asinus (donkey). RNAcentral's name for it is "lncRNA (ENSEASG00005029286.1)". The record is from RNAcentral. Lineage: Eukaryota; Metazoa; Chordata; Mammalia; Perissodactyla; Equidae.
UUCCCUUCUCCCACCUCUUUUCUUUCCACCUCAUUACCAUCUUGUUUCUCAGGAUGCUGAUUCAGUCGCAGACCAAUUUCAGCUGCAUUUUAUUACUGAAAUCCUCCUCUUGCAAAGGAGGAAAUUGAAAGUGAAACAUAACCUGGUGUUCCCAGCCAUGUUGGCUCAGGCGCCGGAAAGAGCAUCUUCAGACCACCUCACUAUCUAGCAAGAGUUUCUGGUGACCAGGAUGACACCUGCUGGGACACCUUACUCACUCCAGCAUCUGCAGACGGGAUCCUGGGAGAACCAGCAGAAGUUGCCAAAGAGUGAGAAUUCUCACCAAAAUGACAAUGCCAAAAUUAGUUUGUAAAGAGCUCUACGUAAUUGGUUUAAAGACAAACACGUGUUUAUAUAAACCAAGUACACUCUCAGAAAUAAAGAAGCUAAUCCGAAUGUUUUUCAAGUUCACGUGAUU